This 483-nucleotide ribosomal RNA is filed under the name uncultured bacterium. Its description in RNAcentral is "bacterial SSU rRNA". It matches the Rfam family "Bacterial small subunit ribosomal RNA", at positions 8 to 486 of the family's 1533-position model. The record is from RNAcentral.
AGAGUUUGAUCCUGGCUCAGGAUGAACGCUGGCGGCGUGCUUAACACAUGCAAGUCGAACGGGAAUGUUUCGCUGAUGCGAUUUCGGUCAAAUCUUGAAGCAUUUUAGUGGCGGACGGGUGAGUAACGCGUGGGUAACCUGCCCUGUACAGGGGGACAACAGUUGGAAACGACUGCUAAUACCGCAUAAGCGCACAGCUUCGCAUGAAGCAGUGUGAAAAACUCCGGUGGUACAGGAUGGACCCGCGUCUGAUUAGAUAGUUGGUGAGGUAACGGCCCACCAAGUCAACGAUCAGUAGCCGGCCUGAGAGGGUGAACGGCCACAUUGGGACUGAGACACGGCCCAAACUCCUACGGGAGGCAGCAGUGGGGAAUAUUGCACAAUGGGGGAAACCCUGAUGCAGCGACGCCGCGUGAGUGAAGAAGUAUUUCGGUAUGUAAAGCUCUAUCAGCAGGGAAGAAAACAAUGACGGUACCUGACUAA